Long non-coding RNA from Saccostrea echinata, 895 nucleotides. RefSeq lists it as uncharacterized. The transcript has 3 exons. Lineage: Eukaryota; Metazoa; Mollusca; Bivalvia; Ostreida; Ostreidae. The record is from RefSeq and is a predicted model, not a curated record.
AUUUUGGACAUUCUCCAUCUUUGACCUUUUCAUUUAGUAACCACACAAUAUCUCCAACUGUAUAUUCAUGAACUAGCACUUUUGAAUUGUAGAUAUCUCUUGUUGUUUUGUAGAUUGGUGAAGAUGUUUCAUGGCAAUUUCAUGGGCAUGGUAAACUUUGGAUCUUAUUUCUUCAACGAAAUCUCCAUAAGAUGAAAUUUUUUCUCCAUUGGAAGCUAAAGAGUGAUGUGUUGCCUUGUAUGGCAUUUGGAUUUCUCGACCAAACAUCAGUAAGUUUGGGUUAAUGGACCAAUAAAGUCAGUGGCAAGACAUUCCCAAGGAGCACCAUAUGACAUCAUUCGAAGAAGAGCUUUAGGUUUUUGUAUCGGAGAACUGGAGAUAUAUCAGAAUCUUUAAGUUGAGCAGUUUGCAGUGCUGCAGAAGAGUACUGACUGUGCCAGACAGUACAGUCGGAUAAUGCAGAUUCCUGAUGCUUUUGUCUUGUAGUGACCUUCCUUGCAGCAACCUCUGAUUGUUCAGUAGACAAAUGUAUGGAAACUAAAUUUUCUGCUCUCAGUCGGCACUUCUUACAAGGUCCACAUUUGAGUUUGUCCAUAUUAUCUGCUGAUGCACAAGUGCAGUCUCUUGGAUUGGGACAUCUGGUUAAACUAUCUGCAUUUCCAUGUUUUGUUCCUUGUCUAUAUUCAACUUCAAAAUUAUAUGCAGAAAGGAUUUCUAUCUAUCGAGCAACUCGGCCCUUUGGUUCUUUUAGUUUGAAAAGCCACACCAAAGCCUGGUGAUCAGACCUGACUAAAAAUGAAUGACCAAGUAAAUAUUUUCGAAAGUAUUCUACAAAAUACUUUACAACUAAAAGUUCUUUAUCAGUUACGCAGUAAUUUCUCUCUGCUUUGUUAAG